UGUUGACCUCGGAUCAGGUAGGAAUACCCGCUGAACUUAAGCAUAUCAAUAAGCGGAGGAAAAGAAACCAACAGGGAUUGCCCUAGUAACGGCGAGUGAAGCGGCAACAGCUCAAAUUUGAAAUCUGGCUCUCGGGCCCGAGUUGUAAUUUGUAGAGGAUACUUUUGAUGCGGUGCCUUCCGAGUUCCCUGGAACGGGACGCCAUAGAGGGUGAGAGCCCCGUCUGGUUGGAUGCCAAAUCUCUGUAAAGUUCCUUCGACGAGUCGAGUAGUUUGGGAAUGCUGCUCUAAAUGGGAGGUAUAUGUCUUCUAAAGCUAAAUACCGGCCAGAGACCGAUAGCGCACAAGUAGAGUGAUCGAAAGAUGAAAAGCACUUUGAAAAGAGAGUUAAAAAGUACGUGAAAUUGUUGAAAGGGAAGCGUUUAUGACCAGACUUGGGCUUGGUUAAUCAUCUGGGGUUCUCCCCAGUGCACUUUUCCAGUCCAGGCCAGCAUCAGUUUUCCCCGGGGGAUAAAGACUUCGGGAAUGUGGCUCUCUUCGGGGAGUGUUAUAGCCCGUUGUGUAAUACCCUGGGGGGGACUG
This 581-nucleotide ribosomal RNA is filed under the name Fusarium proliferatum. RNAcentral describes it as "eukaryotic LSU rRNA". It matches the Rfam family "Eukaryotic large subunit ribosomal RNA", at positions 1 to 590 of the family's 3401-position model. The record is from RNAcentral. Lineage: Eukaryota; Fungi; Ascomycota; Sordariomycetes; Hypocreales; Nectriaceae.